Molecule: long non-coding RNA, 1618 nt
Filed under: Ananas comosus (pineapple)
Lineage: Eukaryota; Viridiplantae; Streptophyta; Magnoliopsida; Poales; Bromeliaceae
Description: long non-coding RNA (ACOM_LNC036918)
Source: RNAcentral
AUCAUAUAUAUUCUGGUGUCAUUCAUGUAUGUUAGGACCCUAUUAUUGUGUAAAUGUGAGAGUUGGACUUGAACAUUAGUAAACAAGGGUGACAAUGACAAUAGAGACAUGAUUGGCAUCAAGAAAGUGAUUGUUAAACAUAGUUUAACCAUAUUGACAUUGGUCCAAGUUGACAUAGAGUGGCAUGAUUAAAUAGGUAGAAACCUAUUGUGACAUUGGCAUUGUGACUAGUGGCUAUGUAUCCUCAAGUUGAGGAUUGGAUCGACACUCACGAUAAGUCUUGGCUUGAGGGAGGUAGCUCCCCCUCGGGCGGUGCGCUCCGGAGUUGGUCACCACUGGGCGUGGUAAAGUCCCACCAGUUGACGGUCCCUAGGGAGGUUCGAGUCCCCCGUUAUUAAGGGAUUUGGUUGUGAGUUAUUGGGGUUAACAUGGUUAACCGGUAAGAUUGGGUCAUAGCCAAAUGAGUGUACAACAAGUAUGCAUUAUGAGUUAUGGAUUUGGUAUCCUAGUCGAGAGGAUCUAGGGCUGAGGUGUAUGUGAGACGUCCAUCGCCUCGAGCCUGGUUCUAGUGCGGUACUCCGCAGACGAUUGACUCAAGACCGAGUCGGGUGGUUAGCCUUGUAAAGGAAGAUGAAACCUUAUGAUUAAAACGGUGAUUGACAAGAAUCUAAGAUAGAGGAAACCUUAAAUAUCAAAUGGAUGAGCUAUGGUUAGCAGAAUUGAAAGUAGUAUCGAAUGAACUACUAGUUGGUUGCAUAGUUGCAUUAUUGCAUGAUUUGCAUAUAGCAUUACAUUAUUGCAUUCGUGAGGCAAUGCAUGGUUUUAUUCGUUGCAUAAUCAAGAUAUAUAUCUAUCUGUUUAUUGAACUAACUUGCAGUUGCCUCCCUUGGACCUAUUGGUCGAACUUUUCCCUUGGGUGGCCGUACCCACUGGGAACCAUGGAGUUGGUUCUCACCCCACGUGGUUUUGGGGUGUUACAGGUUCACACGUGAGCGGCGCGGCGGCGCGAGGCGAGGGCGUAGCAUCAUAGUUAGCGCCCUACCACCGAGACCAGAGAUAGCGGUACCCUGAGUCGGCUUUUCUUAAAGAUGUAAGAAAAUGAAAGGAAUAAGAUUGUAAUAAUCAUGUUAAAUCGGAUUGUAUUUGGAAGUUAAAUGUAAUAAGUAUUUGGGAUGUAAAAUGUAUGAAUGUGAAUGCAUGUAAUAACAUAAGAUGUGUUAUGUUGUUUGAUACCUUCCAUUAUGCAAUCUUGAUUGAAAUGUGUUCCUGGUUGGAACUUUGUACAUUGUAUUGAUUGCUAUGCCUUGAACGUACAGGGGAGACUCUGUCCGCAGUACAGGGGAAACCCUGUCCGUUCGGCGAUCUGUUGCGGCGCCGCGACCCGGCCAAAUAGGCGGGCGGUCGCGGGGCGUGACAGAUAAGAUGGUAUCAGAGCAUAAAAGAAGCAUAAAGAGAACAUAAAAGAAUAAUAGAAAAUGGUUUAGUUGGACCUAGGAGACCCUAGGAUAGUAAACCAUAGGAGAUUAAGGCUCGUGAGAGACGAGGACUUGUUUCUUUUGGCGAAAGGUUAAUUGAUUGGGUUGUGUCAUAAACUUCUAAAACGGAUGUUAGAGGUAGA